RNAcentral lists this ribosomal RNA (3587 nucleotides) under Rhodotorula toruloides. RNAcentral's name for it is "large subunit ribosomal RNA". The stretch from base 1 to 2290 matches the Rfam family "Bacterial large subunit ribosomal RNA". Lineage: Eukaryota; Fungi; Basidiomycota; Microbotryomycetes; Sporidiobolales; Sporidiobolaceae. The record is from RNAcentral.
CUAGCUGAACCAAAGCAUUGUAGUAAGCUAAGGAAAGGACAUCAACAGACACGCGACUAGUAGCGGCGAGCGAACGUCGCAUAGCCUUGCAAACGCCUUAUCACGUCAGCUAAAUGCUUAUGAUUAGCAGUCAUAGCUGGUGACAACCCAGUAAGCUGACAAGCGUUUGCAGCUAGCUUUUAGCGAUGUUAAGCUUUUAUGCAAUUGCCAUCUAAUUGCAAUGAAUGCACCGUGUGAAGUUAGCAGCUAUGCAUUGCAGUAGUGCCAUGUAUAGCUAGCUACCCAUGGGGGUGCUUUUUGCAAAUUUUGCGUUGCAAAGGCUUACGUCAUUAGACAGCUAAGUAAAACGGCCGACAGCUGUUUGAACACAGGUGAACCAUCAUCUAAGGCUAAGUAUAGCGUGAUUAGCGAUAGCGUAUAGUACUGUGAAGGAACGGUGACAAGCGAGUCGAUGACUGCUGAAACAGAUCCUGAACUAACAGCCCCAUAAGCAGACAGUGUGCUUUACAUAGCAUGAUGUCGUACCUUUUGCAUAAUGGGUCCGCAAGUUUAUGCUGCUAGCACGGCGCAAGCCUUAGCUAACGCGACUUGCAAAUAAAACAAAUAGGGGGGUCUGCGUGUCGGAUACACCGCCUUCUAUUGCAGGGUUGACAGUUAGCAGCAUAAGACCUGAAACGCAGUGAUCUAGUCAUAUGCAGGUGUAAAGACUGAACGAUUGCAUGUUGCAUAAUGCUUCGAUGACGUGUGACUAGUAGUGAAAUGCUAAUCUAACUGCGUUAUAGCUGGUUUUCUGCGAAAUGCAUUGCAGUGCAGCGUCAUGUGUUAAAUUGCAGCAAGUACAACACUGGUUAGCAAGCAUAACUCCACGCGGUGUAUAAAUCGCGUGUUUUUACGUUUUGUAGAUUAGGGGGGUGUAGCCACCUUACCUAGGCUAGCUAGCUUCACAAAGGCUGCAAUUCCCCAUGGCAGUGAGUGGUAUGGCGAUAAGGUCGUAUCACAAGAAGACAACAGUCUUUACGUGGUGUUAAAGUCCCUAAUAUUAGCAUAAGUGAAAAUAAGAAGGUUGCUAACCUAAGACAGUCAUGAUGUGGGAUUGGUAGCGUCCAUCAUUUAUAGAAAGCGUAACAGCUCAGUGACCUAGGUUAAAGGAUUGCACUGUAAACAGUUAGCGUGCUAGCCCCUAAGGGGAGGGGUGGUGGGUAUGCACUGCGCGGACCUAUACACUACCGAAGUGUGCUAACGUCUAAUCACACGGCGUAUAAAAACGUGUUUGUGAUUAGCCUUGGGUCCUCAUUAAGUAGGCACCUGGGUGUUUACACGCCGUCCUAGGUGAGCAGCGUCGACAAUUUAACGGGUCUAAUGCUAAAACUAACACACACGUGCUUGCAAAUGCACCGUGUACAGUUAGGCUGUGUAGCCUUGCCUUAAUUCACACGUAGCCCCCAACAAGUUGGGGGAACGAGGUGAUAGCGGGGGUGGAGGCAGCAGUACUAUUGUAUUACGUUGUAAAAAUUUGCAAGACAGGUAGCAGAACAUGCUGCAGCGUUGAACAGCAGUCCUUAAUUGCACGAGCUUGCAGCAGCGCUAAUGCUGACAUGAGUAGCACCAUGGGUGUGUAAACACCCACGCUGUAACAAAAUGGGUUUUAAGCAGCUGUUACACAGGCUUAAGUCAUAGCGAUGUCUAAGCAGCUAGUCAACACAAAGCUGCGAUGACUAUGUAGUAAAACGGUACAAUCCCAAGAAAAGCUACUACUGCUGAUGUCCAUCUAAUGGCGUCAGCCUAUCGUACCCACUACCGACACAGGUUUUGUAGUGAAGCACACUAAAGCGACAGACUAACCACGGUUAAGGAACUCGGCAAAAUGACCUCGUACGUUCGUCAAGAAGAGGUGUCAUACACCGUGUAGAGUUAGCGUGUUUAAGCGGGGCCAUGGGUAGGAUGACUUCCCCCAUGGGUAUCGUACGUCUAAUCACACGGUGUAAGAUCGCAGAUAAUCGCGAAAUGCAACUGUUUACUCAAAACACAGCAGCCUGCAAACACUAACAGUGGUCGUAUAGGUUGUGAUUCCUGUCCGGUGUUGCGCUAUAACGUUAGCUGAGGCUUUGCGCUGCAAAAACUAGCUAAUUAUAAACCGUAAUAAACGACAGCCUUAACUAUAAGGGUUCUAAGGUGCAUGCUGCCUAACCGUUUUCCCCAUGCAAGUUAGCAACAGGGUAGUGGGUAUGCAAAUAAAACUGUACCCACUACCUUAGCAGCAACUGUCUGUAAUAACAGCAGCCUUUAGCAUUGAACACGUGUUUGCAUUAACUUGCAAUUAACUGUAAUUUGCUAACCGUAUUCUGUUAUGAUGUACAGAUUGCAUAGAUUGCAUGCUAACGUCAUCAAGACUGAUGCUAGCAUGGGGAAUAGCGCGUAGUUUUACAGUAUGCAUAGACUGUGAUACGUUGCAGCCUGCUAAGGCCACAUAGCAACAACUGAGGUCAUGACAUAACAUUAGACGGUGCAAUCACGUAGCAAUUUUUUAUUGCUAGUAAUGAUGCAACAUCGCUUGUUGCUAACUGUACAAGGCGUAUAAAACGCAUGUUUAGCUAGCAAUAGCAAUUUGCAACAUGUUUGCAUCGCUAGUCUUCCUGUCAGCCUUAUUCACAGGAUGUGCAGACUUACGUCACAGUGACUGUACGUAAGCAAACCAGCUUAAUUACGCAUAGCAUUGCAAUUGCAAACAACGGCUUGCAAAGGCUUGUCUAGUGUUAUCAUGCAUCGUAUUAGCUAGCACUGACGUCAUAUGAUGUCAUAAGCUUGCAUUAGCUUGUGUAGUGUUAUGAUGCAUCGUAUUUGCUAACAGCCACCUUAUUUGCAAUACUGCUAAUUAAAGGCUCGCGUAGUGUUAUGCUGCAUCGUAUUAGCUAGCAGUGACGUCAUAUGAUGUCGUAAGCAUGCAUUAGCUUGCAUUAGCUUGCGUAGUGUUAUGAUGCUUCGUAGUAGCAAUUUGCAACACAAACAGCAAUUUGCUUAUUAAAGGCUUGCGUAGUGUUAUGACAAUUAGCGUUUGCUAACUGUUAUAACGAUGCUAUUGUCAUUUAAAAGGCUUACGUAGUGUUAUGAUGCAUCGCAUAAGCUUGCUAUGUCGUCAUGACAUCGUUAGCUUGUAAAAGGCUUGCGUAGUGUUAUGUUGCUUAGCAUUUGCUAGCUGUUAUAACAUAUGCAAUAAGCUUGUAAAAGGCUUGCGUAGUGUUAUGAUGCUUCGUAUUUAGCUAACAGCUAUAAAUUGCAAACUUGCUAAUGAAAGGCUCGUGUAGUGUUAUGAUGCGUAGUAUUUGCUAACAGUCACCAAAUUUGCAAAACUGCUAAUUAAAGGCUUGUGUAGUGUUAUGCUGCAUCGUAUUUGCUAAACAUGAUAAAAUUUGCAAUUAGCUUUUAAAAGGCUUGCGUAAUUAGAAGGUUUAAAACACAGUCCAUACCGGGUACCGAAGUGUAAGACGUCACUUCAGACGGUACGCAAAAUGAGCAAAAUGCCUUGGCCACCAAUUAUGGUCUUGCAUGAAUGGAACAGUGAUGUUUCGACUGUCUUAACCGUGGGUCUG